AUACGCUGGCGGCGUGCCUAACACAUGCAAGUCGAACGAGUUGUUUAUAGUAGCAAUAUUGUAAACGGCAAGUGGCGAACGGGUGAGUAACACGUAGAUAAUCUGCCUUUCAGACGGGGGAUAACUCAGGGAAACUUGUGCUAAUACCCGAUGAGACUACGGGAGGGGACUUCUGUAGCCAAAGGUGGGGGCAACCUCGCGCUGAAAGAUGAGUCUGCGUCCUAUCAGCUAGUUGGUGGGGUAAAAGCCUACCAAGGCGAAGACGGGUAGCCGGCCUGAGAGGGUGAACGGCCACACUGGGACUGAGACACGGCCCAGACUCCUACGGGAGGCAGCAGUGAGGAAUUUUCCGCAAUGGGCGCAAGCCUGACGGAGCGACGCCGCGUGAGGGAUGACGGCCUUCGGGUUGUAAACCUCUUUUAUUAAGGAAAAAGGCAAUCGUGCUAAUACCACGGUUGUUUGAUGGUACUUAUUGAAUAAGCCCCGGCUAACUACGUG
RNAcentral lists this ribosomal RNA (498 nucleotides) under uncultured bacterium. RNAcentral's name for it is "bacterial SSU rRNA". It matches the Rfam family "Bacterial small subunit ribosomal RNA", at positions 33 to 507 of the family's 1533-position model. The record is from RNAcentral.